RNAcentral lists this ribosomal RNA (253 nucleotides) under uncultured bacterium. RNAcentral describes it as "partial 16S ribosomal RNA". It matches the Rfam family "Bacterial small subunit ribosomal RNA", at positions 524 to 776 of the family's 1533-position model. The record is from RNAcentral.
UACGAAGGGUGCAAGCGUUACUCGGAAUUACUGGGCGUAAAGCGUGCGUAGGUGGUUUGUUAAGUCUGUUGUGAAAGCCCCGGGCUCAACCUGGGAAUGGCAAUGGAUACUGGCAAGCUAGAGUGCGGUAGAGGGUAGUGGAAUUCCCGGUGUAGCGGUGAAAUGCGUAGAGAUCGGGAGGAGCACCAAUUGCGAAGGCAGCUCGCUGGGACGUUACUGACGCUGAGACGCGAAAGCGUGGGGAGCAAACAGG